UACGUAGGGUGCAAGCGUUGUCCGGAAUUAUUGGGCGUAAAGAGCUCGUAGGCGGUUUGUUGCGUCGGCUGUGAAAUCCCGAGGCUCAACCUCGGGUCUGCAGUCGAUACGAGCAAACUAGAGUGUUGCAGGGGAGACUGGAAUUCCUGGUGUAGCGGUGAAAUGCGCGGAUAUCAGGAGGAACACCGGUGGCGAAGGCGGGUCUCUGGGCAACAACUGACGCUGAGGAGCGAAAGUGUGGGGAGCGAACAGG
This 253-nucleotide ribosomal RNA is filed under the name uncultured bacterium. RNAcentral's name for it is "partial 16S ribosomal RNA". It matches the Rfam family "Bacterial small subunit ribosomal RNA", at positions 524 to 776 of the family's 1533-position model. The record is from RNAcentral.